UUAGCUUGCUAAGGCCGAUGGCGACCGGCGCACGGGUGAGUAACGCGUAUCCAACCUGCCUUACACUCUUGGACAGCCUUCUGAAAGGAAGAUUAAUACAAGAUGGCAUCAUGAGUCCGCAUGUUCACAUGAUUAAAGGUAUUCCGGUAGACGAUGGGGAUGCGUUCCAUUAGAUAGUAGGCGGGGUAACGGCCCACCUAGUCUUCGAUGGAUAGGGGUUCUGAGAGGAUGAACGGCCACAUUGGGACUGAGAUACGGCCCAGACUCC
RNAcentral lists this ribosomal RNA (268 nucleotides) under uncultured Bacteroides sp. RNAcentral's name for it is "partial 16S ribosomal RNA". It matches the Rfam family "Bacterial small subunit ribosomal RNA", at positions 72 to 339 of the family's 1533-position model. The record is from RNAcentral. Lineage: Bacteria; Pseudomonadati; Bacteroidota; Bacteroidia; Bacteroidales; Bacteroidaceae.